RNAcentral lists this ribosomal RNA (783 nucleotides) under Enterococcus faecium. Its description in RNAcentral is "bacterial SSU rRNA". It matches the Rfam family "Bacterial small subunit ribosomal RNA", at positions 48 to 801 of the family's 1533-position model. The record is from RNAcentral. Lineage: Bacteria; Bacillati; Bacillota; Bacilli; Lactobacillales; Enterococcaceae.
GCUAUACAUGCAGUCGAACGCUUCUUUUUCCACCGGAGCUUGCUCCACCGGAAAAAGAGGAGUGGCGAACGGGUGAGUAACACGUGGGUAACCUGCCCAUCAGAAGGGGAUAACACUUGGAAACAGGUGCUAAUACCGUAUAACAAUCGAAACCGCAUGGUUUUGAUUUGAAAGGCGCUUUCGGGUGUCGCUGAUGGAUGGACCCGCGGUGCAUUAGCUAGUUGGUGAGGUAACGGCUCACCAAGGCCACGAUGCAUAGCCGACCUGAGAGGGUGAUCGGCCACAUUGGGACUGAGACACGGCCCAAACUCCUACGGGAGGCAGCAGUAGGGAAUCUUCGGCAAUGGACGAAAGUCUGACCGAGCAACGCCGCGUGAGUGAAGAAGGUUUUCGGAUCGUAAAACUCUGUUGUUAGAGAAGAACAAGGAUGAGAGUAACUGUUCAUCCCUUGACGGUAUCUAACCAGAAAGCCACGGCUAACUACGUGCCAGCAGCCGCGGUAAUACGUAGGUGGCAAGCGUUGUCCGGAUUUAUUGGGCGUAAAGCGAGCGCAGGCGGUUUCUUAAGUCUGAUGUGAAAGCCCCCGGCUCAACCGGGGAGGGUCAUUGGAAACUGGGAGACUUGAGUGCAGAAGAGGAGAGUGGAAUUCCAUGUGUAGCGGUGAAAUGCGUAGAUAUAUGGAGGAACACCAGUGGCGAAGGCGGCUCUCUGGUCUGUAACUGACGCUGAGGCUCGAAAGCGUGGGGGAGCAAACAGGAUUAGAAUACCCUGGUAGUCCACGCC